Long non-coding RNA from Mustela putorius furo (domestic ferret), 1829 nucleotides. The record is from Ensembl. NCBI's taxonomy places the organism in Eukaryota, Metazoa, Chordata, Mammalia, Carnivora, Mustelidae.
CUGUCCCAGGGCUGAACAAGUACCUGGAGCCAGAGGACUCUGAAGAACUGGUUUUAAAGAGUAAUUUUUGUCUCCUUCUCCCUUUCUACUUUCAGGUGAGUCACCUCGUCUUCAGUCAAGUGACAAUACCAUUCUGGGUUAUGUCUACCUUGAUAAUGGCCUAAUGUUAGGAUCCAGUGAGAUGGAUUGCAAAGUACCCUAUGAAUUCAAGGGCUUCGAGCUCAUCAGCCAAGCAAAUGGAAUGUGGCAGGAACCCCACUCUUCAGUUAAGGCUUACAUGUUACCAGAGCAUGCAGAAGAGGAAAAGAAAGAGACCAGAAUGGAGGCAACUAGAAUAAAGGAGCUUGAACAAGAAGACCAGCCACCCCUCUGAAGUCAGUGGACUCCCAUGGUUUCAAGCAUGAUGCCUCCAUGCUGUGGUACAAGUCUAUUCCCAAGGCCCUGUUUCCUGAUUUACAUGUAUUGCUCUUCAUCAAUUUAAAAAUUAUUUUGUGGUAUCUACUCUGCUAUGGAUUAUGGCUGAAAUAUCCAGACAAGGUCCCUGUCCUAGCAAUACGGUACACAAAUGAGCAGGGACUACAGGUUUAAAACAAUUAAAAGAGCAAUGUAGGUUUCCAUGGAGAAGUUGACGAACAUAGUCGGAUGUCAUAUAGCAAGAAAAGUUAACAUCAACCAGGGCUUCCCAGAGUAUGGUCUGAAAGCUACCUGGUCAGUAACCCUUGGGGAUAUUUGUUAGUUUAAAAAAAAAAAAAAUGCUUGGACCCACCUCCAGAUACUCUGGGGGUGGGCUUUUUGAAGAAGUAGUAGAUAUUCUUAACAAACUCUUUAGAUCAUACUUUUGCAUACUGAAGUUGGGAAUUAUUGGUGUGUGUGUGUGUGUGUGUGUGUGUGUGUGUGUGUGGUGACAGUAGGAGAGAGGGUAUCAAGAAAGGCCACCAUGAAGAAAUAGUAUGUGUGCAAGAUGAAGGCCAAAAACUUAGGCUUAAAGUAAGGAUACUUGUGCAAGAGCUUCCCGGUAGAUAACAGCAUAUGUAAAAUUCUAAAGCCAGUAGAAGAAGGUAAACAGUCCUCUUGCUGGAGAAUAAGGAAAAAGCUAGAGGGGGCAGAUAUAGGAGCAGAACCUCAGAUGCAAGGGCAUGCCACAAUUGUUAAGGAUUUUCGAUUUUAUCUUAAGCCACUGAAGGGCUUCAGGCAAAGAAGGAGCAUAGUCAGGUUUUCAUUGAAAAAUAAAAAGGUAUUUAUUCUUCUUCUACCCACUUAAGCCUCCAUGUUGCAUCACCACUUCCUCAUAUCAGGGAGAUCAUAUGAUAGUUGUCUUUCUCUGCUUGACUUAUUUCGCUAAGCAUGAUACGCUCUAGUUCCAUCCAUGUUGUUGCAAAUGGCAAGAUUUCAUUUCUUUUGAUGGCUGCAUAGUAUUCCAAGAAGAAUAAAUAAAACAAGAUGGGAUUGGGAGGGAGACAAACCAUAAGUGACUCUUAAUCUCACAAAACAAACUGAGGGUUGCCGGGGGGAGGGGGUUUGGGAGAAGGGGGUGGGAUUAUGGACAUUGGGGAGGGUAUGUGAUUUGGUGAGUGCUGUGAAGUGUGUAAACCUGGUGAUUCACAGACCUGUACCCCUGGGGAUAAAAAUAUAUGUUUAUAAAAAAAUAAAAAAAAAUAAAAAAAUAAAAAAAUAAAAAUAAAAAAAUAAAAAGGUAGCGUGAAUGGCUUGGGAUCUUUAGAGAGGAUGUGAGGCUAUAAGGAGAAAGCUGUGAUGAUAACUGGGUAAGAAAUAAUGCUACCUUGAAUUAGGGUCAGUGGCAAUGAGAAGGAGAAAAAAAUGGAUCCCAC